This is a small nucleolar RNA of Gossypium arboreum, 107 nucleotides long. It matches the Rfam family "Plant small nucleolar RNA R71". Rfam says of the family: R71 is a member of the C/D box family of snoRNAs containing the C (UGAUGA) and D (CUGA) box motifs. NCBI's taxonomy places the organism in Eukaryota, Viridiplantae, Streptophyta, Magnoliopsida, Malvales, Malvaceae. The record is from Rfam.
AUUCCAUGAUGAGGGAACUCCCGUAAUAACUCUUUGUCCUUUUCCCAUGCCUUAUAAAAGGACUCAUCAUUCAUUUGUUGGAAUGAAAUGAUCUCAUUCCUCAACUU